ACCUUUGUUAGAGUUUUUGUGUGGUCAUCCUUUUCAUUCAUUUUAAUGCUAUUGCUUUCUGUUUCUUAGUUUUCCUUCUUACAGUCAGGCCCCUCUUCUGCAGGUAUGCUGGAGUUUGCUGGGCAUCCACUCCAGAACCUGUUUGCCUGGGUUUCACCAGUAGAGGCUGAAGUACUGCAAAUAUUGCUGCCUGUUUCUUCGUCUGGAAGUUGUGCUCCAGAAGGGCACCCACCAAAUGCCAGCUGGAGCUCUCCUGUAUGAGGUGUGUCAACACCUGCUGGGGGGUGUCUCCCAGUCAGAAGGCAUGGGGGUCAGGGACCCACUUGAGCAGGCAGUCUGUCCCUUAGCAGAGCUUGAGUGCUGUGUAGGGAGAUCUGCUGCUCUUUGCAGAGCCGGCAGGCAGGAACAUGUAAGUCUGCUGAAGCUGUGCCCACAACCAACCUUU
Molecule: long non-coding RNA, 445 nt
Organism: Sapajus apella (tufted capuchin)
Lineage: Eukaryota; Metazoa; Chordata; Mammalia; Primates; Cebidae
Exons: 3
Source: RefSeq, a predicted model, not a curated record